UGUCGCCGUUGCUUCGUUACGCGUCUGCAAAACAGGAAGUUGCUGAUUAAAAUAAGAGUAGGAGCGUCUCGCAAAACUGGGAAAAAAAGAAAGCGAUUGUUUGUAUAAAUAAAACGAAUAAGGAUUCAUCUAAAGAAGGAACUGUACAAGUCAUACGAACAGUAAGACAGUCCGUAAGGCUUAAGGACGCCUUUUUAAUUGUAAUGGCUCGAGUGUCAUUUAGCUGCGUCCACCGAAAGGAUGGCUGCCCGCGUUUAGUGUUAGUUUUGUGAAUUUCAUUGGACGCUUCUUUGGUUUGGAGUCGGAGAGAUCAUCGCAGAGCUUUUCGGAGAGCCUACUCGUCCUGCUGAGGACUCUGCAUGAAUCGAGCGAAGAAGGCGCCGGCCCCCCGGCCGAAGGGGCAGGGUGCGGCGGCCGCGCGGCAGAUGGGCCUUUUACUGGAUUUAUCACCAGAAGGGAUGGAGAACAAUGAGGACAAUGCUGACCUGGAAGCUGAGCUCCUUGCCAUUACAGGAGAUAAACCAUCUUCAAAACAGAAGGGCGCCGGUAAAACUCCCUUGCCAAUGGAACAUAUUGAAAGAAUGGCAGCACUAUGCAUGAAGGAUCUGGAUGACGACGACGAGGAGGAGGAUGAAGACCUGGAGAAUGAUGAAGACCUUAUGGCUGAGCUAAAUGACGUCUUGGAUGAUGUUGAUGAUAAAGCAACCUCCCCUCCAAAGCCAUCACCAGCAUGUGAAAGAAGACCACAGGUGCAGUCAGCUCCUUCUGGAAUGGAGGAAAGUCCGGAGUCUAUGCUGGAAGAAAGGCUCUCCAUGUAUCAAUCGGCCAUCAAAAAUGCCAAAACUGCUGGAGAAGGGAGUAAAGCUCGCCGCUAUGAACGCGGCCUCAAGACACUGGAGUCAAUGUUGGUCUCAGUCAAAAAGGGAAAGAAGAUCAAUAUAGAAGAAAUCCCACCACCGGUUGCCACUGGCAGCAAGCCGGCUCCCACCGAGGCUUUCCCACCUAAACCUGAACCAGUGGAAAGCCAGUUUAAGAAAGAAGAAGAAAAUGCCCCCUCUCUGCAAACUCGGGCCACCAGACCCAAUCUUCCAAUUCCAUCCAUUGAAACUUCUCCUCCAUUGCCUUCUCCUGACUAUCCGGCUCCUCAAAAGCUUGCACCACCACCCGUACCAAAAAAGCCUACCUUGAUGCCUCCUACACAACCAGCGCUUCUUCCAAAACUUUCCCCGAGUACCCCAUUACAGCAGUCAUUGGCUUCAACACCUGAAACACCACUCAUUUCUCCACUCACACCAACAAAACCCCCAAGUGUGGCACCGACAGGUGUGAAAGGACUUUUACUGAGUCGGCAGAGGGAGUAUAAACUGGCAGCCCUACAGGCCAAACAAAGUGGGGACAAUGAACUAGCAAAGAAAUAUUACAUUAUUGCUAAGAAAUUUGACCCAGUGCUUGAAUCUCUGGAUAAAGGAGAACCCAUAGACAUCAAUAAUAUAGCACCUCCUCCUGGUGAGCUGGUGAUGACCAGGUCUGUGCCAGUCACUCAGCCUACACCUCCAGCGUCUUCUCCCACACUACAAGCUACAGAAACAGCACUUCCCCCUGCCCCUCACAAUGUGACUGAGGCCUUGCAGCAAAGAAUGGAAAGGUACCAAAGUGCAGCUGCUCAAGCUAAAGCCAAAGGAGACGACCGCAAGGCUCGAAUGCAUGAGCGUAUCAUCAAGCAAUAUCAAGAUGCCAUUCGGGCUCACAAAGCAGGAAGAUCAGUCAAUCUGUCGGAACUCCCAGUGCCACCAGGAUUCCCGCCCAUCCAAGGCACAGAUGGUUCAGGAGGAGAUCAGAGCAUAAUGGGGGUGUUGGAGACGGCCAUGAAACUGGCUAAUCAACCUGAAGAUGGGGAGGAGGAUGAAGAUGGUAUUCAAGAGACAGGGAAGCCCGCUGGUCAUCCCGUUACAGCAAAGUCACCUGGGUCAGCUCAGCCAGUCCAGUCCAAAGGAGGAGCACCUGCUGUUGGGCAAGGAAAUGCUAAACCUACUCUGAAGCUCGGCACAAAAGCCCAGCAACAGCUAGAGUUCCUUGAGGGUCGUAAAAAGCAGUUGAUGCAGGCAGCACUGCGAUCUAAACAGAAGAAUGACCUGGAAGGUGCAAAGCAGCACUUGCGAAACGCCAAGGGACUCGACCCAAUGAUUGAAGCUGCAAAAGGGGGGCUACCUGUAGAUAUCACUAAGGUCCCACCUGCUCCAAUAAAUGAAGAGGACUUUAUGCUUGUACAGCAACGUGGUGUGAAGAUUCCUCAGAAGACGGCAGAGCAGUACAUUCAGUUGAUGGAGCUCCUCAAGGAGCAGCAUGAUAUGAGUAUGAAGUACUCCAAACAGUUCACUCACUUAGGCAAUGUAGCCGAGACCACCAGGUUUGAGAAGAUGGCCGAGGAAUGCAAGAAGCACAUUGACAUUCUGAAGGUGGCCCAUGGGAAGGGAUAUCCUUUGCCCAAAUUCCAUUAUGAAGAACGCACAUUUAAUAUUACAAAGAUCUUCCCCAAUCUGUCGAGCAGUGAUAUGAUCCUGACAGUGGUGAAAGGAAUCAAUUUACCGGCACCUCAAGGGGUCUCACCAAAUGAUUUGGAUGCCUUCGUUCGUUUUGAGUUCCCCUUCCCUUCAUCGGAGGAAGCUCAGCGUGAUAAGACGAACACUAUAAGGAAUACAAACAACCCAGAGUUCAGGGAGCAAUUCAAGCUGAAUAUAAUCCGUGGGCACAGAGCCUUGAAGAGAGUGGUGCAGUCGAAAGGAAUCAAGUUUGAAGUUGUUCACAAGGGGGGCCUUUUCAAGAAUGACCGUGUUGUGGGCACUGGCCAGCUUAAACUGGAUGGACUGGAAUCCAAAUGUGAGAUAAGGGAAAUUGUUGAGUUAUUAGAAGGAAGGAAGCCAACGGGAGGAAAACUGGACGUUGUGGUGUGCAUUCGGGAGCCUCUUGGGGGCCAGCAGUUAGAGAGUGUCACCGAAAAGUGGUUGGUUAUCGAUCCCUUGACACUUCCGCCUGUGGCUGUCCCAAAAUCCAAGCCCAAGAACGAUGUUAGUAACAGCCCCCCUUCUUUCAAACUUCACAGCCUGAGUCUCCUUAGCUUUGACAAGGAAAGAACUGAAAGAAAGAUUUCAGAAUACAAGCGUGAACACCGAGAACCUCCUCGGGACCUCCUUAUGAAGCACAGGGACCUCUGUCAGCAUAUCCAGUGGCAAAUGAAUCUCCUUGAAAAGCCCAGUCCGGAAGUCUGCAAAGGCUAUCAGAUUAUUCUGGAGAAGUUUAUUGAUGGAUUUGAAAACUCUGUCGGUCGCUUUUCAAAAGAAGGAAACCGAGAAGCGGCCAAAGAUGCCCUUGCCAGGUGUCAAAUGGUGAAGAAAGAGUUGGAGAAUUUCAAAAGAAAAAGGCCUAACUAAGGCACUGAGGACAUUUAAGGGUCCAUCCUGGUGAAGCUUGACAUGUGACUGCUGAAUGCUGGGUGACAGAAUGUUUAAGAAGAUGUGUGGGCACACAUGAAGAUUUGUAGACCCCACAGAAAGUACAACUGACUGUGAAACCAGAGAUGAAGCCGCUGCUCCUACUUCAGAACCUGACACCAAUGAAUGCAUUUGAUUCUAGAAGGUGCCCAGGAAUUCUGGGUGAUGUAGUCUACUAACAGAGCUAACAGGUGCCCUGGAAUUCUGGGUAAUGUAGUUUUUUUUUCCUGCCAGAUGUGUCCUGGAAUUCUGGGUAAUGUAGUUUUUUUUCCUGCCAGAGGUGCCCUGGAAUUCUGGGUGAUGUAGUCUAUUACCAGCAGUUUCUGUUGUUUUGUGGUUCUCCUCUCGUCAGGCUGUGUCUCCCUCACUAAGGCUCUUUACCUUUCAGUUAACUUCGUCGCUUUGUCUCUAAAUGAUUAGUGAACAUCAGUUGAGAAUUGCGCUACAACACUAAAGGAGAGGUGACAUGAAUGUGCGUCACUUUGUCACCUCUUUGCCACAUCUUUUGACUGUUAUAUUUGAUUUUUUUUUUGUUUUAAAGCCAGCACAAGUCGUGCAGCUGAUUUGCGAUUUACGACAUUUUGUUUUUUUUUGAGCGCGUAUUCUGGUCUUCUUGCCAAGGCAAUCAGUGAUUAUAAACUUUUAAUGGUUAUUUGCUCACUUGAAAACUUUUAAUGUAUAAAGAAAAUCUAUUGCAAUACAGGAUGAGAACUUUUAUUGUUAAUAAUGUAUUCAUUUUUGGUUAAUGAUGCAUAUAAUAAGACAUUCUUUAAAGAUAUAAAGUUUACUGCGUUGGAAGCUC
Molecule: RNA transcript, 4290 nt
Organism: Erpetoichthys calabaricus (reedfish)
Lineage: Eukaryota; Metazoa; Chordata; Cladistia; Polypteriformes; Polypteridae
Gene: cc2d1a
Gene name: coiled-coil and C2 domain containing 1A
Exons: 30
Source: RefSeq, a predicted model, not a curated record